Molecule: ribosomal RNA, 110 nt
Filed under: Erinaceus europaeus (western European hedgehog)
Lineage: Eukaryota; Metazoa; Chordata; Mammalia; Eulipotyphla; Erinaceidae
Source: RNAcentral
GUCUACGUCCAUACCACCCUGAACACGCCCAAUCUCAUCUGAUCUCAGAAGCUAAGCAGGGUCAGGCCUGGUUACUACUUGGAUAGGAGCAAGUAGAGUUGUUAUAGUGG